Molecule: long non-coding RNA, 395 nt
Filed under: Anas platyrhynchos platyrhynchos (common mallard)
Lineage: Eukaryota; Metazoa; Chordata; Aves; Anseriformes; Anatidae
Description: lncRNA (ENSAPLG00000029679.1)
Source: RNAcentral
CUUUAAAUAGAUAACAUGAAGGGUAUGGAAGACAGUGAGAUAUGCAUCUUUGGUGUUCAUCCAGCCAUCGUGCUUCAUCCUGGUGAUAGCCUCAAUUGCCACCUUGGGUUAAUAAUUAUGAAACUGUUGAAAGAUUGCAAGAUCACAUAAGGAACCCCCCUGAAUGUCUGAAGAUCUCUCUGGCUGCAACUGAACCAGUAAAGGAAAGGGUGAUACUGAGCCUUCCCGGGUACUGCAAUUCAAUUGUGCAUGCUGUUCAAUUGCUGGAAGGGUUUCUGGCAUGCUGGAGGCCUUUUCCAAAUAGUUCUACCGAAUCGUGGUUUUGUUUGGGGAGGGGACAUGAGGUGAGGGCCAUUCUCAAACAGUUUUCUGGAUGUUACCAUUUUGUUUUGAAG